This 5009-nucleotide unclassified non-coding RNA is filed under the name Leishmania donovani. RNAcentral's name for it is "gene:LdHU3.13.1860(CDS-product:Kinesin-13_5_putat ive)". The record is from RNAcentral. Lineage: Eukaryota; Euglenozoa; Kinetoplastea; Trypanosomatida; Trypanosomatidae.
CUCGCGCUCUGCCACACGCACGCAACUCUCCUUCGUGGACUGAACCCCUACGGGCUGUGGAACUUUGCGACGACACAGGCACACACAUACACAGGGCGCCACGCAUGGCCGUACCGCUCGCACACCCGAACGCGCGAAACCCGUUUCUGAUUUCUCUUUCUUCGGAUUGUAUACACACGCAUUCACUGACUGAUACUCAUCGUCUUCUCCCCUGAGCGUUGCCAUCGCGCUCUCGCGCGCGUAUUUCCACGCUGGUGGAUACAUCGUCUCAUUUCUCUUGUAUUUUUCAACCUCUCCUCGAAGGCUCUGUCCGGCAGGCGUCUGAGAGCACCUUGACGAGUUGCAUCGCUGUGGCUCUGCAUAACGCCGUGUGCAUAUAGGUUGCAGAGGGCCGGCGCUCAACGUACCCACAGCUGUCCUCUACCGGUGAAUUUCAUUUUGUUUUUACCUUUGAACCUUGAAACAAGGGUUUGAGCAGCUCUCACGUCAAGGAUGGAGUCGCAGCUGAAGCAGCUGCUUGUUCAGGGCGGGCUGGAGCACACGGUGCAGGGCUUCGUCGACGGCGGCGUCACCUCUGUCCAGCAGCUAAAGCAGCUCACCAUGCAGGACUAUCACUCCGUUGGCGUUAUCGUCAUGACGGACCGUCGGAAGCUCUUCGAGCUCAUCCAGUUUCUGAAGCGUGAUCGGGCGAACGGCAGCGGCGGCGGCAUGACACCUGCAGCACCGGUGGCGUCGACGGGCCCCAAGUCGCCGCCCCCGGCGACGGAGCCGGCGUCGCGCGUGCAGGCCGCCAUUCAGGCCCCCGCGUUGCCCGCCCGCAUCCCUACGCCGUUGCGCCGUGCGACCCCGACGGAAGCGAUGCAGCGACGCGAGCGGGAAAGGGUGGCCGAGCAGCCGCGGCCGAUGUCGGCGCAGCGCCGUGACCCCAACACAGACGACGGCGAAAACGCCGUCCGCCCUGCCGCUGCGCCGGCAAAGCCGGUUUCACGCCCGGUGAGCCGCGUUGGAGCGUCUUCCCCCUCACCAUUCGGCCGGCGCGCAACCGGUGAAGGCGGUAAUGCUCAGCGGCGUCGUGCCAGCCGAAUCACCGUGGUCAUUCGCAAGCGCCCCCUGAAUGCUAGCGAGCAAGCCGACGGCCUCUACGACAUUCUCGCCACGGACCCGGACAACAACCACAUCAUUACGCUGCUGGAGCCACGCCAAAAGGUAGAUCUCACCCGCUACAUCGAAAAGCACCGCUUCACCUACGACAAGGUUAUGGAUGACCGGAAGACCAACCGGGACGUAUAUGAGGAAGCCUGCAAGCCGUUGAUCGAGACGGUGUUCGAGGGCGGGUGCGCGACGUGCUUUGCUUACGGUCAGACGGGUAGCGGUAAGACAUACACCAUGCUAGGUAAGGACAAGCAGGAGGGCUUGUACCUGAUGGCGGCCAAGGACCUCUGGUCGCGGCUGAGUCGCGGCAUGGGCAUCAACGUCUCUUUCUUCGAGAUCUACGGCGGCAAGCUGUACGACUUGCUGAACGAGCGCGAGCGGUUGGCGUGUAGGGAGGAUAGCCGCGGCGUCAUUAACGUCUGCGGCCUGACCGAGCACCGCGUCGACAGCACCGACCACCUCAUGGAGAUCAUCGACUAUGGCAACACCAUCCGUGCGGCGGGAUCCACUGGCAUGAAUGCCGACUCCUCGCGCUCGCACGCCAUUCUGCACAUCACCAUUGUGAAUGAGAAGAACCGCUUCUUCGGCCGCUUCACUUUCAUCGAUCUUGCCGGCUCUGAGCGCGGCGCUGACACGCUGGAUAGCGACCGCACCACGCGGCUGGAGGGGGCGGAGAUCAAUAAGUCUCUAUUUGCCCUCAAGGAGUGCAUCCGCGCGCUAGACCAGAAUCACCGCCACAUUCCGUUUCGCGGGUCUAAGCUGACGGCGGUGCUUCGUGACUGCUUCAUGGGCAACAGCCGCACGGUGAUGAUCGGCAACAUCAGCCCCGCCAGCGGCAGCUGCGAGCACACACUCAACACGCUGCGCUACGCCGACCGUGUCAAGGAGCUCAAGAAGGACAAGUCCAGCCACAGCGCAGCGGAGGAGAUUAUGAUGGGGCAGAUGCCUACGGAGCACGUCGAAACCGUCGGCAUCUCCGGCUCCUUCGCGCAACGUCGGGCGAAGGAGCGUGUGAUCACGAGCUCGCGCUCCUCCAGCCAGACACGCACUCGCGAGCCCGGAACGCCAAACCAGAAGAUGGUCAACAGCUUUCAUCGACACGGAGACGAUAGCUCCGACAACACUCUUCGGUCCAACCGCAGCUUCGGCUCGCGCCCCGUCACCAGCAGCUCCCCGCAGAAGAAGUCCUACCACCGCCCGACCCCGACCCACAGCCGCGGCCCGAGUGGCAUGUCUUCGGCGAUGCCCACGCCUAUGGGUGAUGACUCACGGUACGACAGCGGCGACAGCCUCGACGCCGAGGAGGACAACCUGAUCCUGGCACACCGCCAUCACAUCGACUGCAUGAUGGAGCUCCUGAAAGAUGAGAUGACGCAACUGAACGCUGCCGAGAACCCGGAGAACUCGAUGAGUGGGUAUUGCAGGCGUGUCGACGCCAUUCUCUCCUCACAGGUGCGCCGCAUCGAGGAACUGCGCCGGCAGCUCGAUCAAUACACCCGCCAUGCUGGUGCCGCUGGUCGCCGCUGAUCAGGUCACCGGUGCGUUGUGAGUGGGGGACUUGAACAGUGCUAUGCACAAGGUCGGCGGGAUCACCGCGGCUGUCCAACCGGGUACGUGUCCUCGACAAUGUUUCCUUGUACUACUUCGGGCAUGAUCCGUGAUCAUGUACGUGGGACAUCUCUCCCAGCUCUCCCAACCUUUUUUUUCCUUCUUGGUGCGCUCGUCUUGUCAUGCACGCAGCGCAUCGCCACGUGCGCGUCUGCGGUGCGAGGGAGAGAAAGGACAAGCACCAAUGGGAAUGUGUGAGGGAGAGGGGUGCUCUAGUCUGUCGUCGCCCUACCUUCUUUUCCCCCUACGCACACAUACGCACGCCAUCUGAUGGUGCAGAUGGAGCGCCUUGCUGGCUGAGCGAUGCUGAGCGACGGCUCCUCCUGUUCUGUUUCUCUUAAUUUUGCCUCGAUGUGUGUCUUCUCUUUCGUAUGUUUGGUUCCCUUUGUGUCGUGUCACCCAUCUCUCUCUCUCGUUCUCUGACUCUCACUCUUGCCUCUCUCGCGAUGGCGGCUGGUGCAUGUCAGUGUUUUGUGUGUGUGUGUGUGUGCAUGGUGUAGACGUGACAGCGUGUGCGCGCGCUUUCGCCCUUUUCUGUGACGGCGCUACGCUCUCUCAAGUUCCUCCGCACCCCCUCCCCCUCCCCACUCACCAUGUUUCAUGGCCUCUCGUACCGCUGCAUCCCUUCCCCUACCACCCUUUCUUCCCGACUCUCUUCUGCCAGGCUUCAAUGUUUUACAACUUGUGUAUGUGUGUGUGUGUGUGUGGGCAGGCGGAUGGGUGCCUUCGUUUCCUUCUUUUUUUAUAUGUUACUCUUGUUGUUGGCAGCGCCGGUGCCGACUCGCCUACGUCUGAACGCCUCCCCUCCCCCCACCAGCUGGUUCUUUUUCUCGCCACCUCGCCGUCUCACACAUCCACCGCUGCCGUCGUCCGUCGGUCUUUUUUUCUUCUAUUGGCCCAUUGAUCUUCACUUUUAGCGUGGCUGUCCGUGAAAGUUUGAGGGGGGAGGCCCUUCGCGGACGUCUCUCGUUUACGUUCUCUCUCCCUCGCGUCUCACAACGGACCCACAGUGUGGCGGGCCCGAAGAUGUGUAGCACGCAUUCUGGUCACCCAGACACGGUGCGUGGAGGCAUACACGGUCACUCCGAAGCAUACAUCUUUUUUUUUUGUUCUUGUUUCACCGUUGUUGUUUUUUCCGUCUUAUUCAAACAUCGCUUUCUUGUACUAGAGUAUAACUGUACCUCAAGACUGCGAGAAGGGGGGGAUGUGCGACGGGGACUGUGAUGGAGGGAGGGGGCUUGUGUGCGUGUUUUUUUUUGCAUGGAGCAAGAAGGGGGAGGGAGUGUAGAGGGAGAUGAGCCUCCUGUGUGUGCGUCGGUCAAUGGGGCAAACAGAAAGCUGCUUAACGCCCUCACCUCGCCGUCCACCACCCAGCUUCCACACCCAUCCCCAUCACCUUCCCUUCAUUUUUUUUUCAGAGUAUGACACAUCGAAAAUGGUUUUGCUGGGUAUAUCUCUCUGUGAAUGUGCGUGUGUGUGUGUUUGUAUGAUGGGGUCCCGUUGAUAUCGUUACUCUGCCGCUUUUCUUGUUGUUCCCCCCCCCCUUCCCUCACUUGGUGUCUGACGUAACGCUCUUUUCUCUUUCGCUGUUUGGGUGUUCUUUUUCCUUUAGCGGACUCGUGUGUAUCUCUCCCCCUCUGCCUCCUCUGUCUUCCAUUUCUUCUGGGUUUGGUUCUUCGCUCACGUCACCACUGUUGGCGCGUUUCUUUGUCUAUUUGCUGAUUGUUGCUGCCCCCUCCCUUCUCCCCCGCCUUUCACCCUGUCUCGCUCCUCUCCGUGUUCUUGUGUGUCUGUCGUAUGUGGUUGCAUUGUUCGCGUUGUUGUUGCUGUUUUGCGUUGGCGUCUCUGUUCUCUGUCUCCUUUGUUGGGCUUCGGCCACCCGCGCGUAUCUUUCUGCCUUGAUGCUGUUUCCUCUCAUCCCUCCCCCAACCAAAAAAGAACGCAAGGAAAGCAGACAAACGCACACGCACACGCACACCUCCGCUAGGAAGCCGAAAGGCAUUGUCGUGCUUUGGACAAGCGCCCAGGACGGGCGCAUGGUGACUGAGAAGAAUAUGCAUGCGCACGGGUGGGGGGGGAGGGGAGCAGGGGUGCCGUGCGCACCGCACACGCGGUUGAGGUGCUCUGCCUCUGCUUUGGUGAGUUCUUUUCCUUCCUGCCGUCGAGUAGCGCUCCUGGUGCGGCACGUUGGCGCAUGGUGGCGGCUUACCCGUUGACACCUCUCCUCCGCUUCCCUCCACACACCAUAU